UACGAAGGGUGCAAGCGUUAUUCGGAGUUACUGGGCGUAAAGAGCGCGUAGGCGGUCUUUUAAGUCAUUUGUUAAAUCUCCCGGCUUAACCGGGAACAUGCAGGUGAAACUGGAAGACUAGAGUAUGAUAGAGGUAAGUGGAACUCCGAGUGUAGAGGUGAAAUUCGUAGAUAUUCGGAAGAACACCAGUGGCGAAGGCGACUUACUGGAUCAUGACUGACGCUGAGGCUCGAAAGCGUGGGGAGCAAACAGG
This 253-nucleotide ribosomal RNA is filed under the name uncultured bacterium. RNAcentral's name for it is "partial 16S ribosomal RNA". It matches the Rfam family "Bacterial small subunit ribosomal RNA", at positions 524 to 776 of the family's 1533-position model. The record is from RNAcentral.